UACGGAGGGUGCAAGCGUUAUCCGGAUUCACUGGGCUUAAAGGGUGCGUAGGCGGGUAGGUAAGUCAGUGGUGAAAUCUCCGGGCUUAACCCGGAAACUGCCGUUGAUACUAUCUGUCUUGAAUAUCGUGGAGGUAAGCGGAAUAUGUCAUGUAGCGGUGAAAUGCUUAGAUAUGACAUAGAACACCCAUUGCGAAGGCAGCUUACUACACGAUCAUUGACGCUGAGGCACGAAAGCGUGGGGAGCAAACAGG
Molecule: ribosomal RNA, 253 nt
Filed under: uncultured bacterium
Lineage: Bacteria
Description: partial 16S ribosomal RNA
Rfam family: Bacterial small subunit ribosomal RNA
Source: RNAcentral